This 459-nucleotide ribosomal RNA is filed under the name uncultured bacterium. RNAcentral's name for it is "partial 16S ribosomal RNA". It matches the Rfam family "Bacterial small subunit ribosomal RNA", at positions 338 to 795 of the family's 1533-position model. The record is from RNAcentral.
CCUACGGGAGGCUGCAGUGAGGAAUAUUGGUCAAUGGGCGGGAGCCUGAACCAGCCAAGCCGCGUGAGGGAAGAAGGUACAGCGUAUCGUAAACCUCUUUUGUCAGGGAACAAAGGCGGGGACUAGUCCCCGGAUGAGGGUACCUGAAGAAAAAGCAUCGGCUAACUCCGUGCCAGCAGCCGCGGUAAUACGGAGGAUGCGAGCGUUAUCCGGAUUUAUUGGGUUUAAAGGGUGCGCAGGCGGCCUGUUAAGUCAGCGGUAAAAAUUCAGGGCUCAACCCUGUCGAGCCGUCGGAACUGGCAGCCUUGAGUGGGCGAGAAGUAUGCGGAAUGCGUGGUGUAGCGGUGAAAUGCAUAGAUAUCACGCAGAACGCCGAUUGCGAAGGCAGCAUACCGGCGCCCGACUGACGCUGAGGCACGAAAGCGUGGGGAUCGAACAGGAUUAGAUACCCCUGUAGUC